RNAcentral lists this long non-coding RNA (1307 nucleotides) under Nicotiana tabacum (common tobacco). RNAcentral's name for it is "long non-coding RNA (NTAB_LNC016079)". The stretch from base 272 to 362 matches the Rfam family "mir-156 microRNA precursor family". The record is from RNAcentral. Lineage: Eukaryota; Viridiplantae; Streptophyta; Magnoliopsida; Solanales; Solanaceae.
ACAUUUAUUCCUUACGUAAUGGAACUGUCUGGUUCUCAUCCUAUAUAAAGGCCAUAAGACUACACACUAUUUCCUCACAAAUCAAAUCAUAUAUCAAUAGCCUUGUUCCCUUGUUAUGGAACAGCAAAAUAGUAGCAACUCUUUGAAGUCUAGGGUUCUUAUUUUAUGUGUUCCAAAUUUCACUUUUUGCAGUACGAGACUUAGACUUCAAGGUUCAGAUAACAACAACGAGAACGUCUUAGUCCUAAAUAAGUUGGGGUAAUUAAAGGAGGUGACAGAAGAGAGUGAGCACCCAUGGUGUUUUCUUACAUGAGAUAUAUAUUCAUGCUUGAAGCUAUGCGUGCUCACUCUCUAUCUGUCACCCACUGUUUUCUCUCUUUCUCUCAUUAGACCUAAGUUAUUUCAUAGUUUUUCUUGAUUGACCUAAGUUAUUUCAUAGUUUUUCUUGAUUUCUAUUUGCAUAUUUGUCUGCCUAUGGAUUUUUCUAAGCUCUAAUAGAAAUUUGCAGUUCUCUAAAUAUUCAGCAAACCCUUUUCGGGCUUGGGGCUUUUGGAGGGGAGGAGAAUGUCCAGGAAUUCAACAGGAAAGCCUCAAGAAUGGUAAAGUUUUUUUCGCCGUUGAUUAGAAGUUUUCCAGGUUUGAGUUUGAGUUUGAGAAUGAUAUUCCCUUUUUGUUAGGAACCCUAAAAUCUCCCAUGGUAAGCUUUCUAUGGUGUAAAUCUAAAUUAAUCGGGUCAAGUUCUUCCAAAACGAAUCUGGAUUAGUCGGCAGGUUCCACUGAAAUUGAUUAAGAGUUUAGUGUUUAGGGCUUCUAUAAAGACCUAGCAAUUAGGGAUUCAUUAAUUCUUUUCUCUUUUACAGUAUUUAUGCUAACAAAUACUUUUAAUAUGGAAAAUAAGUUGCAAUUUUGCAGCCUUAUUUUAUUUAUGGUACAGAAAUGAUUUUGUAGUAUCAAUUUAUUAUGGAAAACAAACAACUUAUUAUAAAUUAGAUUCUUAUUUUUCUUUCGCAGUUGCUAAACCUACUAGGUCUUUUGGCAACAUGAACUGGCCUGAGGAGGUAAACAUCUAAAGUUUUUGUUAUUUUUUCUUUGUAAUUUUGUAAAUAGCCUCGCAGUUUUUCUAUUACUAGCUUUAGUGUAUUAUUGUGUAAUAUUGAUGUCAGUAUAUAAAUAUAAAAUAAUAUGACUACGUUAGUGUUUAGAUAUUUUCUCAAACAUAAAUCCUCUUUUAACUCAAAGUAUUAACCAACAUUAUCUUUUAUCCUAAAAAAUUAAAUUGGAUGGUGAAAAGAAAAAGACUUUAGUGG